RNAcentral lists this ribosomal RNA (415 nucleotides) under uncultured microorganism. RNAcentral's name for it is "bacterial SSU rRNA". It matches the Rfam family "Archaeal small subunit ribosomal RNA", at positions 330 to 745 of the family's 1478-position model. The record is from RNAcentral.
GCGCACCAGUCGCGAAAACUUCACAAUGUGCGAAAGCACGAUGAGGGAAUCCCAAGUGCUUGCACGUAAGUGUAAGCUGUUUCUCUGUCUAAAACGCAGAGAGAGUAAGGGCUGGGUAAGACGGGUGCCAGCCGCCGCGGUAAUACCUGCAGCUCGAGUGGUGACCGUUAUUAUUGGGCCUAAAACGUCCGUAGCCGGUUUAAUAAAUGCCUGGGUAAAUCGGACCGCUUAACGGUUCGAAUUCCGGGUAGACUGUUAAACUUGAGACCGGGAGAAGUUAGAGGUACUCCUGGGGUAGAGGUGAAAUUCUGUAAUCCUAGGGGGACCACCAGUGGCGAAGGCGUCUAACUAGAACGGGUCUGACGGUGAGGGACGAAGCCCUGGGGCGCAAACGGGGAUUAGAUACCCCUGUAGU